This is a long non-coding RNA of Vitis riparia (riverbank grape), 1980 nucleotides long. RefSeq lists it as uncharacterized. The record is from RefSeq and is a predicted model, not a curated record. Lineage: Eukaryota; Viridiplantae; Streptophyta; Magnoliopsida; Vitales; Vitaceae. The transcript is spliced from 3 exons.
UGUUGAAUGAAGAGUACAGGCAUUAGGUUUUUUUGUGUUUGAGGAUGAUGGGUGAAGGCGGUUUUUAGGGUUUUGUACGACGAUCUUAUUCCAUAUUAAAAUAAAGAUGAUAGACGAAGACGGUAGAAUUUUUCUGUUAGGGUUUCUCGACGAUGGGUGAGGACGAUAGGAUUUUCUAUAGUAAUUUUUUGGGCAUGCUUUAGGAUUUUUCAGGAAUGGAUCGGGCUUGACGCAAGGAAAGGGUUCAUGAUGGAAUAUUUACAAGGGAGAUCUUGCGGUGGAAACAAUUUACAAGAUUGUGAAGGUUGAUAACAAUUUCUUGGAUCCACGGUUUGUGCAACCAUUGAUUGUGAUAUCUACCAUCACUUGCAUGCAUACAAAUGUUAAGACACCUCUUUUGCAUUUUAAAUGUAUGUGCUAUUUUGUUCCCAUACAUUGUUCACUGCAUCAAUAUUGCUAGGGAAACACAUAUUGAAACUAAUUCAUUUCUCGUGGACUUGCGGUUUCCUAUAAAAUCACCCUUCAGAAUUUUCGAACUGACCCAGCUAUUAAAAGCUUUGUUGCUUUCAUAGGUUCGGGUGGAAAAACAACCUCAUAUGUGCUUUGCAAAAUUUGAUUACUAGAGAGGCAAGGCUAGAAAGUUUGCAUUCGUCUAUAAUCUUUGACUCCACAAAUGGAUGAAAUGCAUUAUAUAGACUCUCUACUCCACUGAGUUCUACAAAACUUGACCAUGUAGAAGGUAGGUAAAACCAACAGAAGCAGCUAAACUAUCCCAAGUGCCUAGAGAAGACCAACUGAGGUGUGCCAUACAAUGAUUCCAACUGAUCCUUGGGGUAUUAGGCAUAAUGUUUGAAUUAUCUGCUGAUUUCUAACUUAUCAAUGCCAUUAAAAAGUUAUCUUCCAUUUCCAUCUGCUUAAAGGUAUGUGUAAUUACUACUCUACUAUCAUUUGCUGCUUCAACAUUUACUCCUAUUUUUCUCAUCUUUUUAAGUGGACUCAGUGUUGCUAAAUUUGAGCUUUCAAACAUCUUUAAACACCUUUACACUCCUUCAUAAAUCAUAAUUCUGCUUUUUUAUUUGUCAUUACUUAACAAAUGCUUCAAAUUACAUGCUUACCUUGCUUUGCUUCACAAAUUUGUUAUCUUCAACUUUGUUUUUGGACUAAAAUUGCCAACCUAAUCUAGCCAUGCUAACACUACUAAGAAUUAUGUUUUUGAAUUAUGCAACCUAAGCCGUCAUGGCACGGAACUUGCCUGCAGCCAUCCUAAGAUAGAAUAUUUAAUUGAAUUGAACAUAUAAAAACUAUUCCAUUCCUACAACACUCUAUUUAAAACCCUACCAAAAUAUGAUGAGAUACUCAUUAUUGACUAUCAAAUAGAAUAUAAUUAAGAAUAUGCACUAGUAUAUGCAUGCAUGUACCUGUGUACUUCGUACUAAAAAUAAUCUAGAUUUUGUGUGCCUAUAUAUAUAUGGAGCAUUUGAAAAGACAAUAAAUAGAUUGCUUGUAUGGUGUACUUACAUUUGUAUAAAGGAUUUGCUUAUUUUAGAGUGUGAAAAUGCUCAUGAAGCUCUGCUAAAAUUGCAGCAUCUGCAUUCCAUAUCUUGGUUCAAUUUUCUUGCAUUUUCUUUCUCCAUGACUUCUCUGUUGUUGCAAUGCUAUUGUUUGCCUGCUGCUGGUCAUCUGGUAAAGCUAAACGCGGUUCAUUUCGCAUGAAACUUUAGAAGAAUAUUCCAUUCGAUUUUACAUGGGGAACAUCGUUAUGGAGUGGGAUUUUGAAUCCAAGCAUUGGAUUUUUGCAUUUUGGUAAAGGUGCAAAUUUAUGAAGAACCACUUGAAGAUCAAGAGAAGUUCUAGAGCAAUUGUUUUUAUUUUAUAUUAUUUUUUUUUUCCGUAUGUUAAUUCAAGUUAUAUGGAUUAUUGUAACUUAAAUAUACUUUAUCAUAGAAAUUAUGAUAAAAAAAUUGUAUAAACAGCUUAGGU